GUGGGGAAUAUUGCGCAAUGGGCGAAAGCCUGACGCAGCGACGCCGCGUGAGGGAUGAAGGUCUUCGGAUCGUAAACCUCUGUCAGAAGGGAAAAAGGUGCAGGGUGCCAAUCAGCCCUGCAUUGAUGGUACCUUCAGAGGAAGCACCGGCUAACUCCGUGCCAGCAGCCGCGGUAAUACGGAGGGUGCAAGCGUUAAUCGGAAUUACUGGGCGUAAAGCGCACGUAGGUUGUCCUGUAAGUCAGGGGUGAAAGCCCGCGGCUCAACUGCGGAACUGCCCUUGAUACUGCAGGACUCGGAUCCGGGAGAGGUCAGCGGAAUUCCAGGUGUAGGAGUGAAAUCCGUAGAUAUCUGGAGGAACAUCAGUGGCGAAGGCGGCUGACUGGACCGGCAUUGACGCUGAGGUGCGAAAGCGUGGGUAGCAAACAGG
This 430-nucleotide ribosomal RNA is filed under the name uncultured rumen bacterium. RNAcentral's name for it is "bacterial SSU rRNA". It matches the Rfam family "Bacterial small subunit ribosomal RNA", at positions 354 to 776 of the family's 1533-position model. The record is from RNAcentral.